CCUACGGGAGGCUGCAGUGGGGAAUAUUGGGCAAUGGGCGCAAGCCUGACCCAGCAACGCUGCGUGAAGGAAGAAGGCUUUCGGGUUGUAAACUUCUUUUGUCAGGGAAGAGUAGAAGACGGUACCUGACGAAUAAGCCAUGGCUAACUACGUGCCAGCAGCCGCGGUAAUACGGAGGUGGCAAGCGUUGUCCGGAUUUACUGGGUGUAAAGGGCGUGUAGCCGGGUUGACAAGUCAGAUGUGAAAUCCUGCGGCUUAACCGCAGAACUGCAUUUGAAACUGUGGAUCUUGAGUACUGUGGAGGCAGACGGAAUUCCGAGUGUAGCGGUGAAAUGCGUAGAUAUUAGGAGGAACACCAGUGGCGAAGGCGGUCUGCUGGACAGCAACUGACGGUGAGGCGCGAAAGCGUGGGGAGCAAACAGGAUUAGAUACCCGAGUAGUC
Molecule: ribosomal RNA, 442 nt
Filed under: uncultured bacterium
Lineage: Bacteria
Description: partial 16S ribosomal RNA
Rfam family: Bacterial small subunit ribosomal RNA
Source: RNAcentral